Molecule: ribosomal RNA, 255 nt
Filed under: Klebsiella pneumoniae
Lineage: Bacteria; Pseudomonadati; Pseudomonadota; Gammaproteobacteria; Enterobacterales; Enterobacteriaceae
Description: partial 23S ribosomal RNA
Rfam family: Bacterial large subunit ribosomal RNA
Source: RNAcentral
CUUGAAACUGAACAUUGAGCCUUGAUGUGUAGGAUAGGUGGGAGGCUUUGAAGCGUGGACGCCAGUCUGCGUGGAGCCAACCUUGAAAUACCACCCUUUAAUGUUUGAUGUUCUAACGUUGGCCCCUUACCGGGGUUGCGGACAGUGUCUGGUGGGUAGUUUGACUGGGGCGGUCUCCUCCUAAAGCGUAACGGAGGAGCACGAAGGUUAGCUAAUACUGGUCGGACAUCAGGAGGUUAGUGCAAUGGCAUAAGC